This 310-nucleotide ribosomal RNA is filed under the name uncultured Stylonychinae. RNAcentral's name for it is "partial large subunit ribosomal RNA". It matches the Rfam family "Eukaryotic large subunit ribosomal RNA", at positions 40 to 350 of the family's 3401-position model. The record is from RNAcentral. Lineage: Eukaryota; Ciliophora; Spirotrichea; Sporadotrichida; Oxytrichidae.
AUAUCAUUAAGCGGAGGAGAAGAAAUUAACUAAGAUUGCCUCAGUAACGGCGAGUGAAGCGGCAAAAGCCCAAAAUGUAAAUCUAGUUCUUUCAGAACUCGAAUUGUAAUCUAGAGAGGAUUCGCUCAACGGGCGGUGACGCAGAAGUGACCACGAACGGUCCGCCAGAGAGGGUGGAAGCCCCGUAUGUGGUGUCGCUGCUUAACGAGUGGGUUUUCGAAGAGUCGGGUUGUUUUGUAUUGCAGCCCUAAGUGGGAGAUAAACUUCUUCUAAGGCUAAAUAUAUAUGGGAGACCGAUAGCGCACAAGUA